CGGUAUAUCUUUUCCGGCGGCACGGUGGUCGACUGGUUAGCACCUCAGCUUCACAGUGCAGAGGUCAAAAGGUUCGAUUCUGUCUCCGGCCUUCCUGUGUGGAGUUUGCAUGUUCUGCCCGGGCCUGGGUGGUUUUUCUCCAGGUACUCCGGUUUCUUCCCACAUUCCAAACACAUGCAUGGCAGGUUAAUAGAACACUCAAUACUUCUUACAGCGAAUCAUCAUUAUGUUGGGGUGUUUACAUCAUAUAAAACUUGGCACAGCCCGUCUAUGUGCACAGGAUUAUGGCUGGAGUUCAGAAUACAUUUUGCAUUGCCUCAAGGGAGGCGUUCUCUGUUGGUUGGAGUUUGCCGCUCGGAUGCUUUGACCAGCGGUCCUUUGCAUUGCUAUUUAAAUUAUUUAACCACAUCUCGAAUUUAUGCAAGCGCUGCCUUGGCCGGCUUCUUUGCAAACUUCACACCUUAGGAGAAAUAGUAAACCUCCUAGAAGGUGUGAGCAGUAGAAAUGGAAAUGUCCAGCGGCAUUUAAGCUUGUAGGCUGUCAUCAUUUAAUCCCCUCACGUUCAUAAAGUGAGUAAAUUAAUAAUACAGUAGUAACUGACGUAUACAUGCUGGGGGAUGCUGACAGAUAAAAUUUAUUCCUUAAAACUACUGUCUGUGUCCACAUCUGCUUUAUUUCCUUGUGUUAUCCUCAUAAAGGGGGCUCUGAUAGGCCUUGAAUCUCUAACAGGAAAUGAAAAAAAAAAUGUCUGAUCAGUUGAAAUCAUGUUGGCGUUUUCAUUGACAUUUUUAUUUCCUGGGCACAGUUUCCUUAUUAUCCAGGCAGUAAAAACAUCGCGUGUCUCAGUGGUGUCUUGUUUUGUGUUGCUUUAGACUGAAUGCUUUCAGGAUAAUCCGCUAUGGAGCAUGAUAAUCGGUGAUAAUGAACAAGUCUGUCAAAAGUGAAUGCUUCCUUGAGGCCAAGUAAAGCAAACAAUUGAAUGGUAUUUAAUGACUAAAGUACAAACCCAUAUUCCAAUAAAAUUGGGAAGCAGUGUAAAAUGUAUUAACAACAGAACAACAAUUUACAAAUCCUUUUUGACUCUUUUUCAAGACACAACAAGGACAAGUUUAAUUCAUGUUAAACCUCUGUUUGUAUUUUCUUUUGCAAAUAUUCACUCAUUUUCAAUUUGAUACCAGCAAACAAACAAAAAAAAAAUCUGCGAUAGGGCCGUGUUUACUACUGUGUUACAUCAUAUUUCCUUUUAAAAAUAUCCAAUUAUUGUUUGGGAACUGAACACAUUAAUUGUCCAAUUCAAAAUCAGUUGCUCAACAAUAAGGGGUCUCCUUUGGUGUCUUUUACUCUCCGCAAUGUGCCACAUAUUCUGAAUGAGAGACAGGUCUGGACUGCUGGCAAGCCAGUAUAGUACUUGCACUCUUGUUGUGACGCCACACUGUUGUAACACAUGGAGAGUGUGGUUUGGCAUUGUUUUGCUGAACAUAGCAGGGACGUCCUUAAAAAAUAAGUUAGUUGGAUGGCAGCAUAUGUUUCCCUGAAAUCUGUUUGUAACUUUCACCAUUGAUGGUUUCAUCACAGAUGUACAAGUUACCCAUGCCCACAGGCAAAGGGACAAAACACCAGACAAGAGAGAAUCCAAUUGUUUAUGUUGACUGCAUCUGCGUUGGUUUCUAAAGCGGAGACUUUGAAAUUCACAAAUUCCUAUAAUAGCUCCGACAUAAAUUUUAUUGCUUUCGGCUGCCAAAAGUGUGACUAAGAUGCUAUUCUGGGGCCUCAUUAAAGCGCAAGAUCUUUUACGCUGCAGGUAAAUCAACCAUGUUGUGCAUUACGAAUCGCAGAUAUUGAAGUGCUGUCGGAGGGUCACAGAAAAGUAAUUAUUUUAUUCUCCUUGCACACACAGUAGCUGAGUUUACAUUCACUGCACUUUGAGGAAUUAUUGUAGUAAAAAUAUUGAAGUAAAUUAUCAACCAUGCUGAAGUACAUUAAAAAAAUUAUUAUGCAAUAAAUCACAACCAGAGUUAGCCAGUGAAAGUACAAACUCAACGCUAAAUGGAAAUAAGCAUUAUGAACCAAAGUAACAAAAUGUAAAAAUAAAAAAGUCCUGCAGAGCUACGUAGAAUAACACGGGGUCCACCCUGGCAACAUGCAUCAAUUAGAUGGCGCACGGGGGACCUGACGAGAGGGUCCAUCCACUCCACCACUCAGCACUUCACAUUGUUUAGCUCUCUCAUCAUCCAGAGAACCGUCCAAGCCCAAUCUUCCCCCGGCAAUGAAACCUUCCCAACCGGAAAAUAUUCCCCAGCUAAAGCAAAACUACCCUGUCAAAUAUGAGCGCUCAUCUGCUGAGUCUGAAAAUUCUGUUGGUCGAGUUUCCUCCCAGGACACUCGACAGUGCGAGAAAGUCAUACAUUUCUGAAUAUGACACAUUUGUGAUAUGUCUUUUAUCGCCUCAAUUGGCAGUUAUU
Hippocampus zosterae (dwarf seahorse) is the source of this 2462-nucleotide long non-coding RNA. RefSeq lists it as uncharacterized. NCBI's taxonomy places the organism in Eukaryota, Metazoa, Chordata, Actinopteri, Syngnathiformes, Syngnathidae. The record is from RefSeq and is a predicted model, not a curated record. The transcript has 2 exons.